Molecule: long non-coding RNA, 2270 nt
Organism: Taeniopygia guttata (zebra finch)
Lineage: Eukaryota; Metazoa; Chordata; Aves; Passeriformes; Estrildidae
Source: Ensembl
GCCUUUUCUGCCUCCAACCACAGCUUUCCAGGAGUAUCAAUCAUCCCCGAACUAGGAUUCUUCGCAUUUUAAUUAUGCUAAUAUCGUCAUAAUUUCAUUCUCGUUAACAGCGAUUGAAUUUCAGUCUCUGCAGAUGGUGAAGCUGGACAGUUACCAAGCCACAUGCCAUCUUGAGAGGAGGUUAUGGACCAGUGCUUAGCCUGUGGCAGUGCUGCUCAGCACCAUUUCUGGGUUGCAACACUUUACUUUACCCAUUUGUGAAAUGGCAUAUGCCUUUGCCUCAUACUGGUUUUGAGAUUUACAAAGAACACUUCUAAAAAUAAAGAGUUCAUUGCCCAGCUAGCUAAUUCUUGUUACAACACAGCCCUGCCUGCUUUGACAAUUUCAGGUGAAGGCUAGAGAGGAAUUACGCUAUUAAUUUAAAGUGCCUACAAAGAGGACAGACACUCCUCACAAGAAGCCUCAGGAGAAGACAAAGGAGAACAAGUACAAGUUUCACCAGGAGAAAUUUGUUCUCAACAUAGGAAAGACAUUUUUUACAGUGAAAACUACCUAUCACUGGAACAACCUCCCCAGGGAUGUGGUAGAGCCUCCAUCACUGGAAGUUUACAACAUCUCAUUGCAUACCACUGGGUGCUAGAUAAUCUUGUCUAAGAUCCCUUUCCCAUGAAAAUUUGGACCACAUAAACUUUCUGUGUCUAUUCCAACAUGGGAUGCUUCAUGAUUCUGUGGUCCUGUGGUUGUUGCAGGUGUACACAGAUGUGUGGGUAUGUCACCACAAUAGACACCAACCCACUGAAUCUCCCCAUGAGAGCAAGUGUAGUCCCCAGAUCAUGGCAGUGCUGAUGGGAAGGACCUCUGUGGUUUUCUCACCCAGCCUCCUACUGAGAUCAGGCUGGGGUCUUCUGGGUAUGUCCCUUGUUUUUCUCACAGAAUAAAAUUAUUGAAGGCUACACAGAUAAAUUUGUACAACCACAAUCACACCUGUGCUGCGGGGACUGGCAACCAAGGCAACCCUUCUCCUCACCAUUGUGGUAGAUGGACCAGGGUUUGUUGCAUCUCCUUUCUGGACUGGAUUUCUCUUCAAGGAAAACCAGUGUGGGUAGAGUGAGUGGUGAGCACAAAAGCAGUGACCCAGAGAAAUACUGGGACAUGCAGAGGGACCAGGACCUCAGUGCACAUUAUGAGGAACUAUUCUGGCCCACACAGCAGCUCCAGUUCCACUCAGUGGAGAAUAGGUGGCUUCCCAGAUGUACCCUGGCAUAAUCCAUCACUGCCUUUCCUCACCACGCCUGGCCUACCUGUACCAUCUGUGAGGUACUCACACGUUCCAGACACAAUCCUCAGCUCUAAGCUAAGGGAAAUCCCACUGCUCCCUGGCUGACAGGCAGAGGAAACUUCAGCUUAAGCCUGGCUUCAAGUCAGAAAUCAAUAUUGCAUAAACCAAACUGCACCAGUUCUGCAGGAAAGGUUGACAUUGUGACUGAAAGUGUGAUGAAUGAUUUUAACAUGGAUUUGAUGCUUGAGUUGUUGGGUUUUUUAAUACAAAUACAGACUCUGGUAAGGCAAAUAGAAAUUAUAUGGACUAUUGCAGCUUUCUGGUCUGAAGAACAUAUUAAAAUCACUUCAGGAGAUGAUAUCUGAUCAGCUUCUUAUGUAACUGUUGCCUCCUCCUACUCCAUUUGACAGCUGACCUCCCAGAUAAUCAAAGUAAGACACAGAUGGCAGCUGCACAGCCGAGGUAAACACGAAAUGGUCUCUGUGACAGCCCAGAAGAGCCAUUGUUUUCCCAUACCUAAAUCAGAUGGCAAUCUAGGAUCCCAGCCAGACCUAUCUUCCCCCAAGCAUUAAAAGCACACAAUGAAUGAAAAGGCACAGUAGUCAAAAGGGUAAGAAACAGUGUCAGUAAUAUUUCGUAUUGCAGUAAGUCUUCAGAUACUUCUAGGAAAUACUUUUAAUCCAUGGCAAGGACUUUGAUUUUCUUCAAUUAUUUAAUAUGUUGGUGAGGGAUUAAUUAAAACCAUGAGAGAGAGUCACUCUUUAAGGGCAAAAGAUUUUGAAUUCUGCUUGCUGAUCAGGAUGACAACAGUAUUUAUGCUGAUGGUCAAAAAGGGCAUUUCUGACUCCAAUUCCAUUUCCAGAAAACAUUAACUUUACCUCACGGUGCAUUAUUUGAAUCAGCACACGUCGCCAGGGGUUGAAUAAGACAGUUUUUCCGCACUCCACAACGCAGUACCGACACUUACUAAAUUAUGCUGUUAAAUACUGUA